Non-coding RNA from Chiloscyllium plagiosum (whitespotted bambooshark), 246 nucleotides. Lineage: Eukaryota; Metazoa; Chordata; Chondrichthyes; Orectolobiformes; Hemiscylliidae. The record is from RefSeq and is a predicted model, not a curated record.
AAGGAAGAACAUCAAUACAAGUUGCGCUGCAAUGUCACUUUGGUGGCUUUGAUUGAAGAUAGAGACCCUUGGCACUACAGAGAAACGCUUUCUCCCAAGCUAUCAGCAAGCACUAGUGCUGGCAGCUGCUGCUACACUCUGAUCCUAAGCCAGUAUCAACUUGAUCGACUGCUGUUUCACCUUCUGUUUUCCAGUGUCGUCUCCCUUAUGUUAACUGAAAAAAUAUCAUCAAUAUGCAUUUUCCAC